UACAGGGGGUGCAAACGUUGCUCGGAAUCAUUUGGCGUAAAGCGCACGUAGGCGGUUUGUUAUGUCGGAUGUGAAAGCCCUUGGCUCAACUGAGGAAGUGCAUCCGAAACUGGCAAGCUAGAGUACUAAAGAGGGUCGCGGAAUUCCCGGUGUAGAGGUGAAAUUCGUAGAUAUCGGGAGGAACACCGGUGGCGAAGGCGGCGACCUGGGUAGAUACUGACGCUGAGGUGCGAAAGCGUGGGGAGCAAACAGG
RNAcentral lists this ribosomal RNA (253 nucleotides) under uncultured bacterium. RNAcentral's name for it is "partial 16S ribosomal RNA". It matches the Rfam family "Bacterial small subunit ribosomal RNA", at positions 524 to 776 of the family's 1533-position model. The record is from RNAcentral.